RNAcentral lists this ribosomal RNA (445 nucleotides) under uncultured bacterium. RNAcentral's name for it is "bacterial SSU rRNA". It matches the Rfam family "Bacterial small subunit ribosomal RNA", at positions 30 to 490 of the family's 1533-position model. The record is from RNAcentral.
AUUGAACGCUGGCGGAAUGCUUUACACAUGCAAGUCGAACGGCAGCACGAGGGCAACCUUGGUGGCGAGUGGCGAACGGGUGAGUAAUACAUCGGAACGUGCCCAGUCGUGGGGGAUAACGUAGCGAAAGCUACGCUAAUACCGCAUACGAUCUAUGGAUGAAAGCGGGGGACCGUAAGGCCUCGCGCGAUUGGAGCGGCCGAUGGCAGAUUAGGUAGUUGGUGGGGUAAAGGCUCACCAAGCCUGCGAUCUGUAGCUGGUCUGAGAGGACGACCAGCCACACUGGAACUGAGACACGGUCCAGACUCCUACGGGAGGCAGCAGUGGGGAAUUUUGGACAAUGGGCGCAAGCCUGAUCCAGCCAUUCCGCGUGCAGGAUGAAGGCCUCGGUUGUAACUGCUUUGUACGGUAACGAAAGGUUUACCGUUAAUUACGGUAGAGCGUC